RNAcentral lists this long non-coding RNA (989 nucleotides) under Gallus gallus (chicken). Lineage: Eukaryota; Metazoa; Chordata; Aves; Galliformes; Phasianidae. The record is from RNAcentral.
GAAAAAUAUCCACAGCCCAACUCUGACAUGACCAGCUUGGCCAAAGGCAGAACUACACCAACCAAAAACACGACAGAGAGAGGAGAUGGACACCCACAUUUAUUCUAAGCACAGCGCAUUGACAUGAAGGCAGAAACACGAAAGUCUCUCUUGCCAUCAGCAGAACGCCACCAAUCCCACUCAGGUCCGUCCCUUGCCGUCAGUCUCUGGGGGGGGGUCCCCACUUUCUCCCUCUGUAGGAGGGCUCUGAGGGCCGCCAGCAUCUGCCCCGCCUUCUGGCAGCAGCUCCAGGGCUUCCUCACCAAGCACACGUCUCACCUUCUCCCCUUUGGCUGCCAGGAUCUCCUCGAUAUUCCUCUUGCCCUGCAGGUCGGAGAACCAGCCCAGGUUGUCGGCGAUCACGUGAUGGCUGUGGCAGCCGGGGCACGUGACGAUGACGACGCCGCGGCUGUACGCCAGGCGGGAGAUGUUCUGCGCCGUGCGGCGCCGGCACACCUUGCAGGUGUACACCAGGCGGUAAUGCGACGGCUGCAGCCGCCCCACGCUGUCCGGCGGUGCGGUGCACGCGUGGCGCGGCGCCGGGCGCUGCUGUGGAGGCGCUGAGGCGCUGAGCGCGGCGCGCACCGCCGCCCGCCCCAAGCGCCGCAACAUGGCGGCCGCGCAUGCGCAGAAGGGGGCGGCGCUGACGCUGCGCGGCCGGUCCCACAGAGACCGCCUUCCCCAUGCGUACGUUGACGGCACCGCUUUAAAAACCCAGAGCUGUUUAUUGACGGAUCCAGCUGCAAACUCGAAGCUCGGCCGGCCCCUAGCUGCCCUCGGUGUCCGUGUUGUCGCUGCCCGUGCUCGGCUCCCAGUCGGCCUCGGGGCGGCGGCCCGCGGGCGCUCUGCGCAGGGCGCGCUUCCUGGAAACGGGAAUGCGUGAAACGGAGCCCGACGGGAACGGAGCGCGGGAUGGGGGGGGGGGGCGGCGGGAUGCGGCCCGACCUGCG